AUACGUAGGGGGCAAGCGUUAUCCGGAAUUAUUGGGCGUAAAGAGUGCGUAGGUGGUUUUGUAAGCGCGGGGUGAAAGGCUAUGGCUCAACCAUAGUAAGCCUUGCGAACUGUGAGACUUGAGUGCAGGAGAGGAAAGUGGAAUUCCUAGUGUAGCGGUGAAAUGCGUAGAUAUUAGGAGGAACACCAGUGGCGAAGGCGACUUUUUGGACUGUAACUGACACUGAGGCCCGAAAGAGUGGGGAGCAAACAGGAUUAGAUACCCUGGUAGUCCACGCCGUAAACGAUGAGCACUAGGUGUCGGGGCCGCAAGGUUUCGGUGCCGCAGUUAACGCAUUAAGUGCUCCGCCUGGGGAGUACGCACGCAAGUGUAAAACUCAAAUGAAUUGACGGGG
Molecule: ribosomal RNA, 394 nt
Filed under: uncultured bacterium
Lineage: Bacteria
Description: partial 16S ribosomal RNA
Rfam family: Bacterial small subunit ribosomal RNA
Source: RNAcentral